RNAcentral lists this ribosomal RNA (695 nucleotides) under uncultured bacterium. RNAcentral describes it as "bacterial SSU rRNA". It matches the Rfam family "Bacterial small subunit ribosomal RNA", at positions 32 to 715 of the family's 1533-position model. The record is from RNAcentral.
AACGCUAGCUACAGGCUUAACACAUGCAAGUCGAGGGGAAACGAUAUUGGAAGCUUGCUUCCGAUAGGCGUCGACCGGCGCACGGGUGAGUAACGCGUAUCCAACCUGCCCAUCACUUGGGGAUAACCUUGCGAAAGUAAGACUAAUACCCAAUGACGUCUCUAGAAGACAUCUGAAGGAGAUUAAAGAUUUAUCGGUGAUGGAUGGGGAUGCGUCUGAUUAGCUUGUUGGCGGGGUAACGGCCCACCAAGGCGACGAUCAGUAGGGGUUCUGAGAGGAAGGUCCCCCACAUUGGAACUGAGACACGGUCCAAACUCCUACGGGAGGCAGCAGUGAGGAAUAUUGGUCAAUGGGCGAGAGCCUGAACCAGCCAAGUAGCGUGCAGGAUGACGGCCCUAUGGGUUGUAAACUGCUUUUAUAAGGGAAUAAAGUGAGUCUCGUGAGACUUUUUGCAUGUACCUUAUGAAUAAGGACCGGCUAAUUCCGUGCCAGCAGCCGCGGUAAUACGGAAGGUCCGAGCGUUAUCCGGAUUUAUUGGGUUUAAAGGGAGCGUAGGCGGGCUGUUAAGCCAGCCGUCAAAUUGCGGGGCUCAACUCCGUACCGCGGUUGGAACUGGCGGCCUUGAGUCGGCAAGAGGCGCGUGGAAUUCGUGGUGUAGCGGUGAAAUGCAUAGAUAUCACGAAGAACUCCGAUUG